Molecule: ribosomal RNA, 497 nt
Filed under: uncultured bacterium
Lineage: Bacteria
Description: partial 16S ribosomal RNA
Rfam family: Bacterial small subunit ribosomal RNA
Source: RNAcentral
GAUGAACGCUGGCGGCGUGCCUAAUACAUGCAAGUCGAGCGAACGGACGAGAAGCUUGCUUUUCUGAUGUUAGCGGCGGACGGGUGAGUAACACGUGGAUAACCUACCUAUAAGACUGGGAUAACUUCGGGAAACCGGAGCUAAUACCGGAUAAUAUUUUGAACCGCAUGGUUCAAAAGUGAAAGACGGUCUUGCUGUCACUUAUAGAUGGAUCCGCGCUGCAUUAGCUAGUUGGUAAGGUAACGGCUUACCAAGGCAACGAUGCAUAGCCGACCUGAGAGGGUGAUCGGCCACACUGGAACUGAGACACGGUCAAGACUCCUACGGGAGGCAGCAGUAGGGAAUCUUCCGCAAUGGGCGAAAGCCUGACGGAGAAACGCCGCGUGAGUGAUGAAGGUCUUCGGAUAGUAAAACUCUGUUAUUAGGGAAGAACAUAUGUGUAAGUAACUAUGCAAAUCUUGACGGUACCUAAUCAGAAAGCCACGGCUAACUACGUG